UACGUAGGGUGCGAGCGUUGUCCGGAAUUAUUGGGCGUAAAGAGCUUGUAGGCGGUUUGUCGCGUCGAAUGUGAAAACCCGGGGCUCAACCCCGGGCCUGCAUUCGAUACGGGCAGACUAGAGUUCGGUAGGGGAGUCUGGAAUUCCUGGUGUAGCGGUGAAAUGCGCAGAUAUCAGGAGGAACACCGGUGGCGAAGGCGGGACUCUGGGCCGAUACUGACGCUGAGGAGCGAAAGCGUGGGGAGCAAACAGG
This 253-nucleotide ribosomal RNA is filed under the name uncultured bacterium. Its description in RNAcentral is "partial 16S ribosomal RNA". It matches the Rfam family "Bacterial small subunit ribosomal RNA", at positions 524 to 776 of the family's 1533-position model. The record is from RNAcentral.